UGGGGAAUAUUGCACAAUGGGCGAAAGCCUGAUGCAGCAACGCCGCGUGAGUGAUGAAGGUCUUCGGAUUGUAAAGCUCUGUCUUUUGGGACGAUAAUGACGGUACCAAAGGAGGAAGCCACGGCUAACUACGUGCCAGCAGCCGCGGUAAUACGUAGGUGGCGAGCGUUGUCCGGAUUUACUGGGCGUAAAGGGUGCGUAGGCGGAUGUUUAAGUGAGAUGUGAAAUACCCGGGCUUAACUUGGGUGCCGCAUUUCAAACUGGAUAUCUAGAGUGCAGGAGAGGAGAAUGGAAUUCCUAGUGUAGCGGUGAAAUGCGUAGAGAUUAGGAAGAACACCAGUGGCGAAGGCGAUUCUCUGGACUGUAACUGACGCUGAGGCACGAAAGCGUGGGUAGCAAACAGGAUUAGAUACCCUGGUAGUCCACGCCGUAAACGAUGAGUACUAGGUGUAGGAGGUAUCGACCCCUUCUGUGCCGCAGUAA
RNAcentral lists this ribosomal RNA (483 nucleotides) under uncultured bacterium. RNAcentral's name for it is "partial 16S ribosomal RNA". It matches the Rfam family "Bacterial small subunit ribosomal RNA", at positions 355 to 854 of the family's 1533-position model. The record is from RNAcentral.